This is a long non-coding RNA of Alligator mississippiensis (American alligator), 273 nucleotides long. RefSeq lists it as uncharacterized. Lineage: Eukaryota; Metazoa; Chordata; Crocodylia; Alligatoridae. The transcript has 3 exons. The record is from RefSeq and is a predicted model, not a curated record.
UCUCCAACACCAUCCGCUAUUGUUCUCGAGAAGCUGGAAGAAACAGAUAGUCUCCCUUCAAGGAUUGUGCUAAGCACUUUACUUGUCAGCAUUGGAACCCGAGUGCCUUGGACUGGAUUCCAAUUUCAAUCCAAAUGGAGGACAACAGAUCCUUUAAAUCACCAUGGGCCAACCUUUUUGCCAGGUGUGCCUCAAGGAAAGUAGCGCUGAAAGGAACCUAAUCCAUCCCCUGCUCAAGACAAGAUCAUCCCUCACGAAACCAUCCCAGGCAAG